GGAUGGAUGUCUGAGCGGUUGAAAGAGUCGGUCUUGAAAACCGAAGUAUUUUUGUUAAUACCGGGGGUUCGAAUCCCUCUCCAUCCG
Molecule: transfer RNA, 87 nt
Filed under: Rhynchospora tenuis
Lineage: Eukaryota; Viridiplantae; Streptophyta; Magnoliopsida; Poales; Cyperaceae
Description: tRNA-Ser
Rfam family: tRNA
About the family: Transfer RNA (tRNA) molecules are approximately 80 nucleotides in length. Their secondary structure includes four short double-helical elements and three loops (D, anti-codon, and T loops). Further hydrogen bonds mediate the characteristic L-shaped molecular structure. tRNAs have two regions of fundamental functional importance: the anti-codon, which is responsible for specific mRNA codon recognition, and the 3' end, to which the tRNAs corresponding amino acid is attached (by aminoacyl-tRNA synthetases). tRNAs cope with the degeneracy of the genetic code in two manners: having more than one tRNA (with a specific anti-codon) for a particular amino acid; and 'wobble' base-pairing, i.e. permitting non-standard base-pairing at the 3rd anti-codon position.
Source: RNAcentral